Molecule: ribosomal RNA, 443 nt
Filed under: uncultured bacterium
Lineage: Bacteria
Description: partial 16S ribosomal RNA
Rfam family: Bacterial small subunit ribosomal RNA
Source: RNAcentral
CCUACGGGAGGCAGCAGUGGGGAAUAUUGGGCAAUGGGCGCAAGCCUGACCCAGCAACGCCGCGUGAAGGAAGAAGGCUUUCGGGUUGUAAACUUCUUUUCUCAGGGACGAAGCAAGUGACGGUACCUGACGAAUAAGCCACGGCUAACUACGUGCCAGCAGCCGCGGUAAUACGUAGGUGGCAAGCGUUAUCCGGAUUUACUGGGUGUAAAGGGCGUGUAGGCGGGAGUGCAAGUCAGAUGUGAAAACCCAGGGCUCAACCCGUGGCCUGCAUUUGAAACUGUGGUUCUUGAGUACUGGAGAGGCAGACGGAAUUCCGGGUGUAGCGGUGAAAUGCGUAGAUAUUAGGAGGAACACCAGUGGCGAAGGCGGAUUGCUGGACAGAAACUGACGCUGAGGCGCGAAAGCGUGGGGAGCAAACAGGAUUAGAUACCCUAGUAGUC